GCUUAGAAGCAGCCAUUCAUUUAAAGAGUGCGUAACAGCUCACUAGUCAAGAGAUCUUGCGUGGAAAAUGUAACGGGGCUAAAACGUUAUACCGAAGAUAUGGAUGUCAGAUUUAUCUGGCGUGGUAGAGGAGCGUUCCUAUCAGCAGUGAAGUCGAAUCGGAAGGUUCGGUGGAGCGGUAGGAAGUGAGAAUGCUGGAAUGAGUAACCAUAAGAGAGGUGAGAAUCCUCUCGGCCGUAAGAGCAAGGUUUCCUGAGCCAUGGUAAUCAUCUCAGGGUUAGUCGGGCCUAAGCCGAGGCGCAGAGCGUAGGCGAUGGACAUCAGGUUAAUAUUCCUGAACCGGUUAAGUUUUGUACACUGUUCACGGGGAAGUAAUCGAAGCGGAUUCAUGGUUUAUCCGUCCAACCGAGCGGGAACGCAAAGGGAGUGAAAGUGAUUCUUCGGAGUCGCGAUUUUGGUGAAAGCCCUGGCUAGAAAAGCAGGUGUACGCGUGGACUUAGCCGCCCGUACCGCAAACCAACACAGGUGCUCGAGUCGAGUAGACUCAGGCUUACGAGCGAACCUUCGCUAAGGAACUCGGCAAUACAGCGACCGUAACUUCGGGAUAAGGUCUGCCCCCACUUCGGUGGAUAUCAGCCGCGUUCACUCAGUGAAUAUUAGGUUAAAGAGUACAUUUUUAAUCACAAAACGAAUUUUCUGAGAUAGAGCAAACGAAUUGUUCUUUUGAACGCGAACCUCUGGCAUCUAACGAUGUGGGGGCCGCAGCAAAAGAGCCCACGGAACUGUUUAUCAAAAACACAGGUCUCUGCUAACACGAAAGUGGAUGUAUAGGGGCUGACUCCUGCCCAGUGCUGGAAGGUUAAGGGGAGUGCUUUACGGUGCGAACUGAAGCCCCAGUGAACGGCGGCGGUAACUAUAACCGUCCUAAGGUAGCGAAAUUCCUUGUCAGGUAAGUUCUGACCCGCACGAAUGGAGUAAUCAUGUGGGCACUGUCUCAGCGAAGGACUCGGUGAAAGUGCAUUGGCGGUAAAGAUGCCGUCUGUCCGUACCAGGACGAAAAGACCCCAUGGAGCUUUACUACAGCUUUACAUUGAAUAUGGUUUCAACAUGUGUAGCAUAGGUGGGAGACUUUGAAGCAGAUACGCCAGUAUUUGUGGAGUCGCCAGGUGAAAUACCACCCUUGUUGUGAUUGUGUUCUCACGCUGACCGUUAUCCGGUUAGCGGACCGUGUAUGGUGGGUAGUUUA
This 1246-nucleotide ribosomal RNA is filed under the name human metagenome. Its description in RNAcentral is "bacterial LSU rRNA". It matches the Rfam family "Bacterial large subunit ribosomal RNA", at positions 1104 to 2272 of the family's 2925-position model. The record is from RNAcentral.